Molecule: ribosomal RNA, 253 nt
Filed under: uncultured bacterium
Lineage: Bacteria
Description: partial 16S ribosomal RNA
Rfam family: Bacterial small subunit ribosomal RNA
Source: RNAcentral
UACGUAGGGAGCGAGCGUUAUCCGGAUUUACUGGGUGUAAAGGGCGCGUAGGCGGGAAUGCAAGUCAGAUGUGAAAUCUCCGGGCUCAACCCGGAAACUGCAUUUGAAACUGUAUUUCUUGAGUGAUGGAGAGGCAAGCGGAAUUCCUAGUGUAGCGGUGAAAUGCGUAGAUAUUAGGAAGAACACCAGUGGCGAAGGCGGCUUGCUGGACAUUAACUGACGCUGAGGCGCGAAAGCGUGGGGAGCAAACAGG